This is a long non-coding RNA of Mus musculus (house mouse), 1300 nucleotides long. The record is from RefSeq and is marked validated. Lineage: Eukaryota; Metazoa; Chordata; Mammalia; Rodentia; Muridae.
CUCUGCCUCAGAGGUCUUCUCAAGCCACUACUGUUCCCAAGGAUGCCUAAUUGCAAUGCCAGCUUCUGGGGUGAACAUGGACCCACUGUCAUCGGGCAAGGUCUAGGAUGGACAUGGAGACCCACCAUCUGGGAGAUUCCAGAGUGGACGUGAACCCACCAUCAUCAGAGAGCUUCAUGGAGUAUUCAGAAGCUGGCGGGUGUCACCUGGAGGAUGUGACUGGGUACCAGUGCCAGAGCACGUGCCCACUGAGCAGUCUUCUUCACUUUCCUCGAUCCUCAUGAAACAUUCCGGGAUCUUUACCUCAAAGGACUCCAGAGGCUACAUCAUUGUCUUGGAACUGGUCAGUGGCUGGAGCUCUCUCCAGGACAAGUGCUUGGAGGAAGAACCUGGACAAGCUUCCCUCCCCAUACUGUUGACUGGAUCUUGUAGCUACCGUUAGCCACCAUCAUCGCCAUUGUGUGCCUCUUAGGAGCAUUUCCAGGAGGUGAUGCCAGCUGGGGAAAGAGCCUCUGUCCCACAGCCGUCGGUGCCCGCUGCAGCCUGCGCCCAGGAUGUCACAGCCUCAGCUCAACACCUCUGCUGGACAGCUUCAGGUGGUGAUUCCAGCUCCAGGGUUGCUGCGGUCAACACUGGGUACUUGAGGAGAGGUUGUCUGUGAUGAGUUCGCUUUAUUAAUGACGAAUAUAACACAGAUGGCCUGUUUUCAAUACCACCUGCCACUCCGGUCACUCGGCAGUACAUACCAGGUGUCACACCACUGCCCGGCAGGUGACAACGCUGAAUUGGUCCUCAGGAGCGGAUGUUCAAGGAACCCUGCCUAUGCACCAUGCUAGCUGCCAGUCCUAGGUUGGGACAUUCCACUGGGGACAUCCAUGGGAGAGCUAUGGCCAUUAACAAGUCCUGAGCCCUGACCUGAAGCCAUCAGUGGCCUAGCUGCUCUACCUGACUUUGUGGCCUCCCUUCCUGGAUCUCUCGCUUACGACAACCGACAACAAAGAUGUUUGACUCCAGAAGAUGCUCCCCGCGGCCCACCUGAGAGGACUGUCCACACCCCACCCCACUGCGCCCUGUGCCAUCUACCUCUGAGUCCCCAACUUCUCACCCAUGUUUCAACUCCCACCCCAGAGCCUUGUAUUCCAGAUCUGAGCAGCCCUUGCUUAGGAACCUGAGGUGGGGGGUGGGUAGGCAGACCCAGGGGACUGAGCAGGGAGGGGAAGGAGGGGUUUCUGCUCUUGGCUUUCAAAGUUCUCAGUGUGUGUAGCCCUUUGAAUAAUAAACAUAUGUCAUAUAAUGUAAA